RNAcentral lists this ribosomal RNA (253 nucleotides) under uncultured bacterium. Its description in RNAcentral is "partial 16S ribosomal RNA". It matches the Rfam family "Bacterial small subunit ribosomal RNA", at positions 524 to 776 of the family's 1533-position model. The record is from RNAcentral.
UACGGAGGGUGCGAGCGUUGUCCGGAAUCACUGGGCGUAAAGGGCGCGUAGGCGGCCUGAUAAGUAGGGGGUGAAAUCCUGCGGCUUAACCGCAGGGCUGCCUUCUAAACUGUCAGGCUAGAGCACAGUAGAGGCAGGUGGAAUUCCCGGUGUAGCGGUGGAAUGCGUAGAGAUCGGGAAGAACAUCAGUGGCGAAGGCGGCCUGCUGGGCCCUACCUGACGCUGAGACGCGAAAGCGUGGGGAGCGAACCGG